This 434-nucleotide ribosomal RNA is filed under the name uncultured Lachnospiraceae bacterium. RNAcentral describes it as "bacterial SSU rRNA". It matches the Rfam family "Bacterial small subunit ribosomal RNA", at positions 341 to 792 of the family's 1533-position model. The record is from RNAcentral. Lineage: Bacteria; Bacillati; Bacillota; Clostridia; Lachnospirales; Lachnospiraceae.
ACGGGAGGCAGCAGUGGGGAAUAUUGCACAAUGGGGGAAACCCUGAUGCAGCGACGCCGCGUGAGUGAAGAAGUAUUUCGGUAUGUAAAGCUCUAUCAGCAGGGAAGAUAAUGACGGUACCUGACUAAGAAGCCCCGGCUAACUACGUGCCAGCAGCCGCGGUAAUACGUAGGGGGCAAGCGUUAUCCGGAUUUACUGGGUGUAAAGGGAGCGUAGGUGGUACGGCAAGUCAGAAGUGAAAUGCGGGGGCUCAACCCCUGAACUGCUUUUGAAACUGUCGGACUAGAGUGCUGGAGAGGUAAGUGGAAUUCCUAGUGUAGCGGUGAAAUGCGUAGAUAUUAGGAGGAACACCAGUGGCGAAGGCGGCUUACUGGACAGUAACUGACACUGAGGCUCGAAAGCGUGGGGAGCAAACAGGAUUAGAUACCCUGGUA